UCCCGCGUAGCUCAAUCGGCAGAGCGUCCGGCUGUUAACCGGCAGGUUCCGUGUUCGAAUCACGGCGCGGGAG
This 73-nucleotide transfer RNA is filed under the name Nocardiopsaceae bacterium. RNAcentral describes it as "tRNA-Asn". It matches the Rfam family "tRNA". Rfam says of the family: Transfer RNA (tRNA) molecules are approximately 80 nucleotides in length. Their secondary structure includes four short double-helical elements and three loops (D, anti-codon, and T loops). The record is from RNAcentral. Lineage: Bacteria; Bacillati; Actinomycetota; Actinomycetes; Streptosporangiales; Nocardiopsidaceae.